CACACAUACAAAAGACACCUUAAUAAGAAAAACCAAGAGAGAAAUUUUCGGGAUUGUUUUAUUUUUUUACCUUUUUCAAAUCAUUUUUCUUUAUUUUUAAUUUGGUUGUUUUUGGUGGCAUUAGGUGGUGGUGUGGGUGGUGUUGAAUGCUUUUCAGUUCUCUCACAACCACCCUCUCGAUCUGUAUCCAUCUCUGGAUAAUCUCUGUAAUUCCGCUCUUUCUCUCUCUCUCUCUCUCUAACGCAAACACAAAUAAUUUGUUUGAAUUAGAGAGAUAGGUUCGUACGUACGUGCAUGGUUGCAUGCAUGCAGACGGAGUCCAAGCCAAUUGUACUGACGUGAAGUUUGUACGUAGCUGCAGCUGCAUCCAUGCAAACCUAUCCAACGUAAAAGUUGCAUUAUUGCAUGUACAGGGGAAAUUGGGAAGGAGGAAACUUUGAUAGAAA
Non-coding RNA from Malus domestica (apple), 446 nucleotides. Lineage: Eukaryota; Viridiplantae; Streptophyta; Magnoliopsida; Rosales; Rosaceae. The record is from RefSeq and is a predicted model, not a curated record.